GGUAGCUCAAUUGGUAGAGCAAGGCAUUAACACUGCCAGGGUUAAGGGUUUAAUUCCCACCUGGAAAUCA
Merluccius polli (Benguela hake) is the source of this 70-nucleotide non-coding RNA. The record is from the annotation of a GenBank genome assembly. Lineage: Eukaryota; Metazoa; Chordata; Actinopteri; Gadiformes; Merlucciidae.